RNAcentral lists this long non-coding RNA (519 nucleotides) under Homo sapiens (human). Its description in RNAcentral is "non-protein coding lnc-DUOX2-3:1". The record is from RNAcentral. Lineage: Eukaryota; Metazoa; Chordata; Mammalia; Primates; Hominidae.
GGUGCUUCCAGCGGACGGCAGCGCGCGAGGUGAGACGGCGAGGGCUCCCGGGGCGCAGACCAGGCCAGGCGUCAAAGCAAGUCACCCAUCCGACCUAAACCCCUCUAAGACCCCGGAGUCACGUCUCCCUCCGGGGAUCCUCGUGAGGUCUUGGGGGUCCCACCGCCCUGCGAGCCGCGCCCGCGCCCCGCCAGACCCGGAACUGCGUCGCUAGGUUUGCGCUGGAGCUGCUGGGAUUGCUGGGCAUGGGUGGGGGGGCGCAGAGGAGGAGGGGGGAUUGGAGGGACCUCUGCGGAGCUGGCAGACCCCGGUACUACUGUCCUGGCGCACCCAGCCCUUCUCUGUACCAGGCCGGGAGAGGGAGGCGGCGCCGCAGAGCCUCGGGUGCAGUCUGAGAAGUUUGGGAGUGACUUGAAGAGUGACUGGAAGCACCCCAGACCCGGUUUGUCCGGUCACAGCCGGGUCCUUACGUGAGUUAGGAGAGGAGUGGGGGUCGGACGGGAGCCCCACUGAGAGUAA